AACGAACGCUGGCGGCAGGCUUAACACAUGCAAGUCGAGCGCCCCGCAAGGGGAGCGGCAGACGGGUGAGUAACACGUGGGAACAUACCCAUCUCUGCGGAACAACUCCGGGAAACUGGAGCUAAUACCGCAUACGCCCUUCGGGGGAAAGAUUUAUCGGAGAUGGAUUGGCCCGCGUUGGAUUAGCUAGUUGGUGGGGGAAAGGCCUACCAAGGCGACGAUCCAUAGCUGGUCUGAGAGGAUGAUCAGCCACAUUGGGACUGAGACACGGCCCAAACUCCUACGGGAGGCAGCAGUGGGGAAUAUUGGACAAUGGGCGCAAGCCUGAUCCAGCCAUGCCGCGUGAGUGAUGAAGGCCUUAGGGUUGUAAAGCUCUUUCACCGAUGAAGAUAAUGACGGUAGUCGGAGAAGAAGCCCCGGCUAACUUCGUGCCAGCAGCCGCCGUAA
This 447-nucleotide ribosomal RNA is filed under the name uncultured bacterium. RNAcentral describes it as "partial 16S ribosomal RNA". It matches the Rfam family "Bacterial small subunit ribosomal RNA", at positions 29 to 523 of the family's 1533-position model. The record is from RNAcentral.